This 254-nucleotide ribosomal RNA is filed under the name uncultured bacterium. Its description in RNAcentral is "partial 16S ribosomal RNA". It matches the Rfam family "Bacterial small subunit ribosomal RNA", at positions 524 to 776 of the family's 1533-position model. The record is from RNAcentral.
GACGAAGGGGGCUAGCGUUGUUCGGAAUUACUGGGCGUAAAGCGCGUGUAGGCGGUUUGCCAAGUCGGGUGUGAAAGCCUUGGGCUUAACCCAAGAAAUGCACUCGGUACUGGCAGACUAGAGGACCGGAGAGGAUAGUGGAAUUCCCAGUGUAGUGGUGAAAUACGUAGAGAUUGGGAAGAACACCAGUGGCGAAGGCGGCUAUCUGGACGGUUUCUGACGCGUAAGACGCGAAAGCGUGGGGAGCAAACAGG